RNAcentral lists this transfer RNA (75 nucleotides) under Exophiala sideris. RNAcentral describes it as "tRNA-Ile (AAT) (tRNA-Ile-AAT-1-1)". It matches the Rfam family "tRNA". From Rfam's summary of the family: Transfer RNA (tRNA) molecules are approximately 80 nucleotides in length. The record is from RNAcentral. Lineage: Eukaryota; Fungi; Ascomycota; Eurotiomycetes; Chaetothyriales; Herpotrichiellaceae.
GGUCGGGUAGAUCAGUUGGUUUAGAUCGUUGACCUAAUAAGUCAAAGGCCGAGGGUUCAAGCCCCUCUCUGACCA